Molecule: RNase P RNA, 385 nt
Filed under: Chlamydiota bacterium
Lineage: Bacteria; Pseudomonadati; Chlamydiota
Description: Chlamydiae bacterium RNase P RNA component class A
Rfam family: Bacterial RNase P class A
About the family: Ribonuclease P (RNase P) is a ubiquitous endoribonuclease, found in archaea, bacteria and eukarya as well as chloroplasts and mitochondria. Its best characterised activity is the generation of mature 5'-ends of tRNAs by cleaving the 5'-leader elements of precursor-tRNAs. Cellular RNase Ps are ribonucleoproteins.
Source: RNAcentral
GCUGUCCGUGCGGUAACCGUUUCAGGCAAAUAUCCGUUUGCCUGAAGAGGAAAGUCCGGACACCUGCAGGCAGGAUGCCUUGAGAAACCAAGGGACGUCCCGAUGUAUUGAUCGGGAUGGACGGAAAGUGCCACAGAAAAUAUACCGCCCCGAGCGCGUAAGCGUCUCCGGGGUAAGGGUGAAAUGGCGAGGUAAGAGCUCACCGCCGUGUACGGUAACGUAGCGGGCAUGGAAAACCCCAUCCGGUGCAAGACCAUAUAGGAAACAUUGGGAGUUCACUCCCGGGCAUGCCUGUUGUCUAUAUGUUUCGGGUAGGUCGCAAAGAUGAAUGGUUACCCUCCUUUAAAGAGGAGACAGAAUCCGGCUUAUGCUGCGGACAGCAUCU